UGGGGAAUUUUGGACAAUGGGCGAAAGCCUGAUCCAGCAAUGCCGCGUGUGUGAGGAAGGCCUUCGGGUUGUAAAGCACUUUUGUCCGGAAAGAAAUCCUUGGCUCUAAUACAGUCGGGGGAUGACGGUACCGGAAGAAUAAGCACCGGCUAACUACGUGCCAGCAGCCGCGGUAAUACGUAGGGUGCAAGCGUUAAUCGGAAUUACUGGGCGUAAAGCGUGCGCAGGCGGUUUGCUAAGACCGAUGUGAAAUCCCCGGGCUCAACCUGGGAACUGCAUUGGUGACUGGCAGGCUAGAGUAUGGCAGAUGGGGGGUAGAAUUCCACGUGUAGCAGUGAAAUGCGUAGAGAUGUGGAGGAAUACCGAUGGCGAAGGCAGCCCCCUGGGCCAAUACUGACGCUCAUGCACGAAAGCGUGGGGAGCAAACAGGAUUAGAUACCCUGGUAGUCCACGCCCUAAAACGAUGUCAACUAGUUGUUGGGGAUUCAUUUCCUUAGUAACGUAGCUAACGCGUGAAGUUGACCGCCUGGGGAGUACGGUCGCAAGAUUAAAACUCAAAUGAAUUGACGGGGU
This 573-nucleotide ribosomal RNA is filed under the name uncultured bacterium. RNAcentral describes it as "partial 16S ribosomal RNA". It matches the Rfam family "Bacterial small subunit ribosomal RNA", at positions 355 to 919 of the family's 1533-position model. The record is from RNAcentral.